Molecule: long non-coding RNA, 644 nt
Organism: Molossus molossus (Pallas's mastiff bat)
Lineage: Eukaryota; Metazoa; Chordata; Mammalia; Chiroptera; Molossidae
Exons: 4
Source: RefSeq, a predicted model, not a curated record
UUAAUUGUUUGUAGACAAGACUGUAUUUCCUAAGGAAAGAAUAUUCUGAAAUGAUUUUGCAAUCUACGCUUGACUAAGCUUCUGCGUUCCUCUAUUAUUUCUUCUCAUUGAUAAUAAUAAGUCCCAUAUGGAAAAUGCGUAACAAGGAUAAGAAGAAACUAGCAGCUAAAUUUUGCCACGCUAUGCCAACUAUCUGCAGACUAUAUAUAUUACAUUUCAAAACUUGGCCACAUUUUCACUUCUCAUCCUUUAGCAGUAGAACACUUUUAACAGAUGGAAACGCUAAAUUGCUCAGUACUGCUCUGUGUUACGGAGCCAGGCCUGGGAAGUAGACGCUGAAUCUCUGGAUGGCUUUUCUGCUCCGGGGCAGCACUGGUCACCGCAGCCAUAGUGCAGGACAUCACACUGUUUGAAAACUUGUAUAGUGACGUUCUAAACUUGUUAAGGGAAGAGAAAGAAACCCAGCAUGAGCCAAAAGCCAUGGCUGUAAAAAGAGCUGUUCCCAGCAGCAGGAAGAGAUGUAGACAGCUACUAGACAUUACCGUGUGACUCUGGGAACUUACGGUGAUCUCCUUUCUGCCUGCUGCCGUCUAACAGGCGCAUCACAUAAAGCUCAUUUGUUCAGCACUGGACAGUUAGCUAUA